UGACUAGGUACCUUACUUGGGCGGUGAGGUUUAUCUGCUUGUUGGAGCAGAAACCUAAGAUUGAGUUACUGGUGUGGGAAUAUAUACCUGCACACGAGUCUCUGAAACUCGUGAAAAGAUCGGAGGAGGAGCAUUCCUCAACAAAGACGGUAUGGUAUCUAUCUUGGAGGAAGACCUAUUGGGAAAAGGAGCAGAGGCCCUCUAUGGGCUGAUUACACAAUCUUUUGGUAACGUUCCCAACAAAGAGCCUUACCAAGUUAGUAACAGGCAUUACUAAGGUUUCGAUCAUAAUUCACAGUUGGUUGCGGACAUCCCUAAGUUAGUGACGAUCAUACCAAAACAAAUAUCCCUGAUUCAGUAAUGUUGGUAUGCCGGAGCGGCGGGAAAUGUAAACACUGAAUCAGCUGAGCAUGUCAGACACGUGAUAUUCAGGAUGAACGCUCCACGGGAAAAGGGAACACCACUCACUUAUGAGCAAAAAAUAACUCUUGUAGGCCUCAUUAGAAAAAAAAAAAAUGAACCAGUAUUAGAUAAAAGAACCGAUCACGCCAGCACAGAAAACAAGAGAGAUGCGUGGAAACGUCACUGAUGCCUUCAAUGCAUACCCGCUGGUGGUUCCCUAAAGCACCGCUCAUCUGAGGCGCGCCUGGGAGUACACAAGGAACAAGGUCAAGGCAGGCCAAUUUAAAAAGGAAGUACGCGCAACUGGGGGAGGUCCACCCCCUACACCUCCAAAAUAUGAUACUCUGACAGAGGAGGUCAGGAGCAUAAUUGCCUUUGAGUUAAACUGCAGUGAAAUGCAGUACCACAAUGAGCUUUCACACCUGCCACCUAGCCUCACACCAUAAACUUAUGUUACCUCGCUCAUUCUGCUGCAAGAAGGUGAAGUUGAAUGGAUUGUGGAUGAAGAAGAGGCUGAGGAACUCUCCCAACUGACUGUCAGCCAGAUGUCAUUAAAUAAGCAAUCUCUACAGGAGCAGUUAUGUGGUAGUCUGACACCAAGUCACACUACCAGCAGAAGGAUGGGUAAAAAAAAAAAAAAAAAAAAAAACUGGUAAGAGACGAAAUCCAUUUAAUGUGAGUGGCAACACUCAUGAAGAAUAAAUGAAAAAAAUUCUGCAAAAUAAUGCUGAAAAGCUUGAAGCACAGAUUAAUGCUUUACAAAGCAUAGGGACAAUGUGUGCUGCUGUUCCUAACAUGUGUGCCAAAGUGAUUGAAGAUAUUGAUUAAAAAAAAAAAAAACACUGAACACACACACACACACACACACACACACACACACACA
Long non-coding RNA from Scylla paramamosain (green mud crab), 1285 nucleotides. RefSeq lists it as uncharacterized. NCBI's taxonomy places the organism in Eukaryota, Metazoa, Arthropoda, Malacostraca, Decapoda, Portunidae. The record is from RefSeq and is a predicted model, not a curated record. The transcript is spliced from 3 exons.